This 267-nucleotide ribosomal RNA is filed under the name uncultured soil bacterium. Its description in RNAcentral is "partial 16S ribosomal RNA". It matches the Rfam family "Bacterial small subunit ribosomal RNA", at positions 26 to 280 of the family's 1533-position model. The record is from RNAcentral.
AGAAUCAACGCUGGCGGCGUGCCUAAUACAUGCAAGUCGAACGCGAAGACCCCGCAAGGGGUUGGUAGCGUGGCAAACGGGUGAGUAACGCGUGGGCGACCUGCCUUCGAGUGGGGGAUAACCUUCCGAAAGGAGGGCUAAUACCGCAUGAUAUGCCGUGUUUGGAUACAUGGACAUCAAAGCUGGGGAUCGCAAGACCUGGCGCUUGAAGAGGGGCCUACGUCCGAUUAGCUAGUUGGUGGGGUAACGGCUCACCAAGGCGACGAU